This is a long non-coding RNA of Anastrepha obliqua, 1376 nucleotides long. RefSeq lists it as uncharacterized. The transcript has 4 exons. Lineage: Eukaryota; Metazoa; Arthropoda; Insecta; Diptera; Tephritidae. The record is from RefSeq and is a predicted model, not a curated record.
UCUACUUCUGGCUAGUUCACUAAUCUUUCAACCUCCGAUGAAUCGUCGAACCACAACUCCGUUGUACUCAUUUUCACAAAAAAUACUUUUUUUAACUUUUAAAAAUGUUGUUAGCAAAGAAUUUCAACACAAUCGGUUUUUCUUUUAUUUUGAUUUGCUGUAUCAGCUGAGAAAAAUUAUCUAUUGUAAAUGCGUCGAGCGAUCGAAAUUCACAAUAGUCCUAUUCUUCAACGAAUGAGCACCAUAAUACCAAAUGAAAAUUCGUUCGAUCAGCACUUUCGACUACAGUCGAAGAUCGAAUGUUGCUCAUAAUAAGGGCCGUUAUGUUACUGCUAUUCGAGAAUUUCGACAAAAAUAAGGAAACUAAAUAUAUCGUCAAGUGUGUGGAAAUGAAAAGAAUAUUUGCAAAUAAAACAUUAUGAGAUAUGCUCAUAAAAUCUGUCUACACAUUAUUAGUGUCAUAGAUUGUUCGUAAAAACCCAGCAGAGCUCAAUAUGAAGAGUUAGUUGCAAAACUAAAAAAGCAUGUGUAUUCCAAGAAAGACAUUUUACUAAUACAACACCAUUUUCUUGCAAAAUAUCAAUGUGAAUAGCAAAUUGAAGCAAGUUUUUUGGCAUGUCUCCAGCGUGACAUAAAUUAUUGUGCAUUUGUGUCGCAGGUCAGUACAAUGCUCUCAUUUCUAACAUUCUUCUUCAAGCUCAAUUCAUUAGAAGAAUCCGAGAUAAGACAAUCCGCGAACAGCUCAUUCAGUCAGAAUAUUAGAGAAAUUUUUUUGGAAAAAAACGCUAUCUUUAGAAGCACUCAACAUACCUAGAUAGCCGUGAACUCAAUGCAAAAUUACAAAGUACUAUAAAUGAUGUCAACAAAGUACUCGCAGGUAUAAAACGUAGUAGAAGGCCACCGAUACAUUCAAUAAUAAUCAAAUAUAAACUUGGUGCAAAUAUUUGUCAACAAAGUACUCGCAGGUAUCGAAAACUUGUGCAUACGAGGCGGAAGAGAGAAUCACAAAACAAAGGAAUGUCGCGCAAGGCGACAUAACCUCAAAUAAAACUCGCGCCACGCUGCUGCGUAUGUUUGGAACCAAUAAUGCCAGAAACCGGUGAAGAAGGAACUGUACGUGUCGUAGCGUUAGAUCGCAGUUUUCACUUCGAAUGUUAUAAAAGUGAAGACUGUGGUUUGUUGUUAUCGUCAGAAGCCGAGGUUCGUGGAUGCUAUCCUCUAGACGGACAUAUACUCUGUAGAAGUUGUAAUGCAAAACGUGUGCAAAUGUUAACAAGGCGCAUGGCAACAGAGUUAUAAACAAACUUAUUACUGUGACAUAUUAUAUUAUGAAUAUUAUGUAUAAUUUCUACACUCAUAUGUAAAAUUAAAGUAAA